Molecule: long non-coding RNA, 534 nt
Organism: Pan paniscus (pygmy chimpanzee)
Lineage: Eukaryota; Metazoa; Chordata; Mammalia; Primates; Hominidae
Source: Ensembl
CUCCCUGUUAAUGCACAUUUUACCUGGACCCAACAGGUCUCUUGUCUCCUACAACAAAUAUUGUGCCAUACUGGGCAGCUGCCAACCUCAAAGCACACGCCUUCCUGCCAGGUGUGAUCAGUGUCUCCUUUUCCAUUUGGCAACCAGGAACUUGUGGCCAGAGGUGGGAGGCACCUGGGCAUCAGCUUCCACCAAGAAUAACAUAAAAGACGUUACUGUUUCAGCAAAUAAAUUAACAUCAUCAUGAAUUUGUGAUUCAUUAUUAUGAAUCACAAAUGUUGCAAAUUCGUGACCAUAUUCAGAGAUUGAGUGUCUCAGAGGGAAUAUUGCAGAAAUCGCAGCCAGGCUGUGCAAAACUGUGGGAUGACUGAGCAGUGGACUUGCACUCUAAAACAGCCCUUCUCCCUUCCUCUGCCCCUGCUCCUUUCCCCAGCCCCUGCUCCCUUCCCCAGCCCCUGCUCCCUUCCCCAGCCCCCGCUCAGGUUGGAUUUCCAUUGACACUUCAAGCCUGGAUGUAAUAAAUCAACUGCUGGU